AUAGUGUAACGACUAUUGAAACGCUAUGGAGCUAUUUCAAAAAUUUUGGAGAAGUCAUAGACAUAUACAUGCCUAAAGUAGACAUAUGUACAAACAAACCACGUGGUAUAGCUUUCGUCACAUUUGUUGACGAGGACUGUGUAAACAAAAUAUUAUCAAACAAGAAUUCUAAACAUAUAAUAGAUGGAAAAGAAGUGGUUGUAGAUUUAGCUGAUCCUGAUACAAAAGCCCCAAAGAAGUUACACCAGUG
Piliocolobus tephrosceles (Ugandan red Colobus) is the source of this 250-nucleotide long non-coding RNA. RefSeq lists it as uncharacterized. The record is from RefSeq and is a predicted model, not a curated record. NCBI's taxonomy places the organism in Eukaryota, Metazoa, Chordata, Mammalia, Primates, Cercopithecidae. The transcript is spliced from 3 exons.